This is a non-coding RNA of Hypoxylon fuscum, 107 nucleotides long. Lineage: Eukaryota; Fungi; Ascomycota; Sordariomycetes; Xylariales; Hypoxylaceae. The record is from the annotation of a GenBank genome assembly.
GGUCAGAUGGCCGAGUGGUUAUGGCGCUGCGUUCAGGUUUACUUGAACAUUGAAUCUUCAAUUUCGCAGUGGAGCAAUCCGCGUGGGUUCGAGUCCCACUCUGAUCA